Molecule: ribosomal RNA, 229 nt
Filed under: uncultured bacterium
Lineage: Bacteria
Description: partial 16S ribosomal RNA
Rfam family: Bacterial small subunit ribosomal RNA
Source: RNAcentral
CGUGCAGGCGGCUUGUUAGGUCAGGUGUGAAAUCCCUCGGCUCAACCGAGGAAGUGCACUUGAAACCAGCAGGCUUGAGUACGGGAGAGGGAAGCGGAAUUCCUAGUGUAGAGGUGAAAUUCGUAGAUAUUAGGAGGAACAUCUGUGGCGAAGGCGGCUUCCUGGACCGAUACUGACGCUGAGACGCGAAAGCGUGGGGAGCAAACAGGAUUAGAUACCCUGGUAGUCC